AUGGUGGGAGAGCCAGAAGUUAUAGAGUGCCUGGUGAUGACUCAACAAACCUACCAUUACAGGGAGCUUCAAAGUCCAGCCUGCCCAGAGGCUUGUCCAGAAUCCCUGACUGUAGGAAAUGUCCUGUAUGGGCCUCUUUGUAACUCCUAUCCGCUAGAGCAGCCAAAUUCUGGAGUCUGCAUUUUUAAGCUUAGAUGGAAUCUAGAGAUCAAGCGUCUGCAGUCCUGUGACCAGCUUGGACCAGCAGUUUCCUCAGCCCUGCUACGAAGCAGAAAAAAAAAAAAAAGAGAUAACCACAACCUCUACCUGAAACCUGUUCCACUGAGGGAAGGUUUAAAGGAGACCUUGUAAAGUGGAAGAAAUGAGGGGUUUCAACAAGUACUGGUCUUCAAGUGGGGGUAUGCAAACACUUUCUACAGGGUAAGAGACACCAACAGCUUAAGGAAUCAGUUACCAGAUCCUUGACAUAAAUCCAAAAAAAUUCCCUGCCUGAGCUCUUGCCUGUGCUGCCCAAGCAGAUUCUUCCUUUCUCCAACAGUCCUUUAUCUACUUUAUAAAGGAUGAAAGACAAGAACACCUCUCACCUGUGCUAAUCUUACCAUGGCUCACUUCCCUGGGCACCAAACAGAAAGAGGAUGGGAUGGGGGGCACUUGGAUGGGUCAGUUGGUUAAGCAUCUGCCUCUGGUUCAGGUCAUGAUCCCAGGGUACUGGGAUCGAGCCCACGUUGAGCCCCACAUCAGGAUCCUGGGAAGCCUGCUUCUCCCUUUGCCUCUACCUAUCACUCCCCCUACUUGUGCUCUCUCAGUCUCAAUCUCUCUCUCUCUCUGUCAAAUAAAUGGAUAAAAUCUUUUUUUAUUAUAAAAAAAGAAAGAGGAUUAGGAAUAUCAGUGUUGAUGCUAAGGGAACAAGCAGCUGUAUGGACUGAAUAGCCCAUAUUUCUACAAGUCAGGGGGUUUCUGAUGCUUUGUGUUCAACAAAACUGAAGGAAAGGCUUAAAAGAGUCGCAAACUUACAGAGCAUUCAGAAUGAUUUUUGACAAUAGGUCAAUAUAGGAUUUUUUGGCUCAAAUGAGCUCAAAGAAUUAACUGAGAGUGCUAUAACACUUUUUUUCCAUUCUUCUUUUCAUCUGAACAAGAUUCCUCUGUGUUUCCAUUCAGAAACACAUUUGAUACUGAACUCUGACCCACUCGAGCAGUGAGUAAUAAUUAAACCAGAUAUGUAACAUCGUUGUGGUAAAAAGGCCGUCUCUCUCAUGAAAGGAUGUAUUUCCACGAAAAUAGAAUUUUAUAUUUAGUAAUUGCUUACUAAUUUGAAAUAUGUAUUGCUGUUUUGACCAACUAUAUUACUAAUAAUUAUAAUGACAACUCCAUCAGAAGAGAUUAUUCCAUGGUCAUAGGAGCUACAGUCAAGAAAUAAAAAUAUUAAUAUCAAUUUAUAUAUAUAUUUAUUUAUUGCAGUACAAUAGGGUGGCCACUGAAAGAUUUUCAAGCUUAAAAAAUACACAUGAGAAAAAUCUAUCUGGGAAGUAGAAUGGAACUGCAAAUUCAGGGGAAAAAAGGCAUGACACAAAAUUUCUGAUGUGUAAAGGACAGCUUGUUCUGCUAUUGUCUGAAGACCCCCGGACGCCAACACGGGAUCAUACAUUUGGGUAAAGCCAACAUAGUAGAAACUGAGAGAACAAAGGAACAAUCAGUAUAUUUUUGCUACUAGAAUACAGGAAAGCUAGAUUACAAUGAUGUAAUGUUUACAUAUGCAGUAGACAUAAAAAGUUUAAAAGCAGCUCUUUGUUCUCCUGCUUACUGUGGGGCAGGCACCAGCACAUGUGAAAGAAAAAAGAUGACAGGACAAGCAGGCAAUUAGACUUGUGGAUGCUGAAGCGCCACCGGAUUGAACCUGGUGAAAUGACCCUGGGUUCCAGGAUAGAAGCCAGCAUACACGCGGUCCCACUGUAAGCCUGGGUCACGCCACCUCAUCUCAGGAUUCAUUCUAGAACUCCAUGAAACAAGGCCUCAUAAUUACUUUGGGGGUAGAAGUCAGUUCAGUUGAACUCUCACCAAGUACACAAAUCUUUUAUCGUGAAGAUCUAACUGGAUUCUUUUUCCGAAUCACACUGCAAAUAAAUUCAUUGUGCUCCUACGGUGCCAUAUGAUAUUAUUUUAUAAAUGCAGAUGAUUCAAAAGCAGCGAAUGCUUGGCCAUUGCUCUCAAUAAACUUGCCAUCUAACCAGGAGGACAACAUCCAAGUUAAAAUACUGAAGAACAAUUCAAAGCAACAUAUAAGAGAAACAACUACUCUCAUACUUUCCCAGUGGAAGUAUAAAUUAGUACAAUCCCCUGUGGAAGGAAUUUGGGCACAUAGAUCAAAAUUACAACUAAGUUUCUCCUUUGACCCAGUAAUUUAACUUCUGGGAAUGUAUCCUUUCCAACAUAUUAAGAAAUAACAUAUAUACAAAGUUACUCACUGCAGCAUUAUUCAAAAUAACAAAAGAUUGGAAAGGACUCAAAUACCCUUGAAUAGAGGACUGGUUAAAUAAAUCAUGCUAUAUAUAUAUACAAUGGAAUAUUCUGAAGGUAUAAACAUGUACAAGGAAGCUUUCAAUGAACAGAUAUUUUUUAAAGUCUCCAAAACCUAUUAAAGGGGUGGGGGUACUCAGCAAGUGGCAGAAAAUGUGUAUAUGAUGCACCCUUUUGUUUAUGUGGGAAAAACAAGAAUGUAGAAUAUAUUUGUAUUUACUUUAAUAUUCAUAGUGAACUCUAGAUGAAUACACACAAAAACUAAAAGCCGAGACCAGCAGUGAGUUGCGAGAGGGUGAAAAGAGGGUGAUGGGGAAGGGAAAGAGGGAGACUUUUACUGCAUAAAAUGCAUAGAUAUCUUUGGAACCUAUAUGUGGUAGUUUUUUCCAUUCAAAACAAUUAAGAAGAGAAUAAUGUAAAAACACUCUCCAAGGAAGCCCAGGAGAAUGAGGAUGAAGCUGGUUUUCGUGAGACUCCCCCUUGCCCUGUUUCGGGCAUGGACUUCAGCUUUGGCCAGGUCUGUGGACGGUAGGGAAAAUGAAAGAGACCGAGAGCACAUAGUUUUUGCAGUGCACUAUUGGGCUGUUUCUGCUGUGCCAUGAUGUCUGAAGGCUUCUGAGCCACUGCCCAGCUGAAAUUCUUCCCCUCCUGGUGCCUCUCCUUCACCAGGGCCUGGAUCCCAGCCCUCCCUGCCUGCCUUGUUGCCAAGAUGUUCAUGCCCAGCCAUCCUCACCAGUUACCAGAAUCCUCAAGCAGCUGGCUUUAAUUUUUACUGUGGGAGGGCAGAAGGGGGGAGGGCAGAGUCGAUUAAGUAAAUUUCUAUUAAGGGAAGAGUAAAGUGCAGGAGGUCAAAGAGUCGGGGACAGAUGCCUGGCUGGCUGCCAAGUCAAGCUUAGAAAAUACUCCCCAAAGAUACCAGAAAAAUCUGCCCAAAUGUGGAAGCUGCUGGCUUUGGGUUGUGUAAUCAUGGGAGAUUUUUUUUCCUGGUUUUUAUGCUUUGAUGUGCUUUCCAAUUUUAUUUUUAAAUGAGUAUAGAUUACCCUUAGAAAACAAACACUAUUGCACACCAUGUGAAAGAUGUAUAUAUUAAAAACCAAACCACUAUUCUUAAAUAGUUCAGGAACUUUGAAAGAUAAAGAAAGGCAGGUCAGAUGGGCAGCAUAAGAAUUUCACAGCUGUAGGGGCACCUGGCUGAUUCAGUCAGUAAAGCAUGUGACUCUUAAUCUUGGGGUUGUAAGUUCAAGCCCCACGUUGGGCAUAGAGCCCACUUUUUAAAAAAUAAUAAAUAAUAAAAAUUGAAAAAGAAAUUUACAGCUGGAAAUGGUAAAAAUAAUAAUAUUAUAUUUUUAAAAAUUUUCCUAUAAUGCUGAAGAUGUCACCUGACUGUAAGUUGGUGUGACUUGCCUAGUUAGGCUGGGCAGUGUGGAACUGUCCAUGGUUCCAGGGCAGGAAAGGGCAGUCAUUUAAUGGAUGCCUGCAUUUGUCCUAACUCUCCAGGCCACAGUCAGGGCUUCCUCUGUCUUCCUCUCACUGGGUCUGAAACUCGGUAUCUAGCACUUUGAACCCAAAUGAUGAUGAUGGUCCUAUUCAUCUCAGAACUGUAACAAAUACAUUUUGAAAGUUGGCCAGUUUCUCUCUCAGCUCCUUUAGUGAGCUAAUAUUCAAAUUAUCUAAGUAGGUUUGGGCAGAGCUGAGGCUAACAUGUUUUUCACCAUUUAACAAACAAGUUUUAGGGGUGCCUGGGUGGCUCAGUAGGUUAAGCAUCUGCCUUUGGUUCAGGUCAUGAUCUCAGGGUCCUGGGAUCAAGCCCUACAUCAGGCUCUCUGUUCAGCAGCAAGUCUGCUUCUCCCUCUGUCCCCACCUCUGUGAUCUCUCUGGCUCUCACUCACUCUCAAAUAAAUAAAUAAAACCUUUAAAAAAUAAAAUAAAAUAAAAAACAAGUUUUAUUUAAAGGAAAGUCAGUAUGGGGUGCCUGAGUGGCUCAGUCAGUUACACAUCUGCCUUCAGCUCAGGUCAUGAUCUCAGGUCCUGGAAUCAAGCCCGACAUUGGGUUUCCGGCUUAGCAGGGAGUCUGCUUCUUCUUCUCCCUCUGCUCCUCCCACACUGCUUGUGUUCUCUCUCUCUCUCUAUCUCCCCUCUCUCAAAUAAAUAAAUUUAAAAUCUUAGUAAAAAAUAGAAUUAGAUGGAAAACCGAGCCCCUCAAUACUUGAAAAAAUAUAGAAUGGACCUUGAUGUUUGCAAAGGAUCUAGUCUAAAGACUUCCUGAAUUCCAGAUGUGAGAACUAUACUAUCACACAAAACUUUCCCCUU
This 4824-nucleotide long non-coding RNA is filed under the name Canis lupus familiaris (dog). RNAcentral's name for it is "lncRNA (ENSCAFG00000058339.1)". The record is from RNAcentral. Lineage: Eukaryota; Metazoa; Chordata; Mammalia; Carnivora; Canidae.